Molecule: ribosomal RNA, 497 nt
Filed under: uncultured bacterium
Lineage: Bacteria
Description: partial 16S ribosomal RNA
Rfam family: Bacterial small subunit ribosomal RNA
Source: RNAcentral
GAUGAACGCUGGCGGCGUGCCUAAUACAUGCGAGUCGAACGCACAGCGAAAGGUGCUUGCACCUUUCAAGUGAGUGGCGAACGGGUGAGUAACACGUGGACAACCUGCCUCAAGGCUGGGGAUAACAUUUGGAAACAGAUGCUAAUACCGAAUAAAACUUAGUGUCGCAUGACACAAAGUUAAAAGGCGCUUCGGCGUCACCUAGAGAUGGAUCCGCGGUGCAUUAGUUAGUUGGUGGGGUAAAGGCCUACCAAGACAAUGAUGCAUAGCCGAGUUGAGAGCCUGAUCGGCCACAUUGGGACUGAGACACGGCCCAAACUCCUACGGGAGGCUGCAGUAGGGAAUCUUCCACAAUGGGCGAAAGCCUGAUGGAGCAACGCCGCGUGUGUGAUGAAGGCUUUCGGGUCGUAAAGCACUGUUGUAUGGGAAGAACAGCUAGAAUAGGAAAUGAUUUUAGUUUGACGGUACCAUACCAGAAAGGGACGGCUAAAUACGUG